AGAAGUGAUGGAAACAUCUCAACAUUCACCUGCUUUUAAGAAGUCUGUUUUGGGACUUUUAACUCUGAUCCUAGUCUGUUUUCUUGGAUUCCAGCUGAACGCCUCUCUCUUUGCCAGUAAUAUCGCCAGUGUGCCACUUCGUGGGGCUGACAGGGAUGGGAGCGGAUUCGGGAAUCGCCAUUGCAGCAUUUGAAUGGAAUUCAGACAUAUUUUCUGGAGCCAUAUUCAUCACACUGGUCUUGGGAUUGGACCUUUAUCUGGAGAUCUUCAUCCUCUCGGCUAUCACUGCCAUUUGCACAACCACUGGAAACAGGUAAAACAAGAAAUAAAAGUGUUGAGUGCUACCACCUGGAACAGAGACCACCCACCCC
Long non-coding RNA from Orcinus orca (killer whale), 371 nucleotides. RefSeq lists it as uncharacterized. The record is from RefSeq and is a predicted model, not a curated record. The transcript has 3 exons. Lineage: Eukaryota; Metazoa; Chordata; Mammalia; Artiodactyla; Delphinidae.